Long non-coding RNA from Haliotis rufescens (red abalone), 323 nucleotides. RefSeq lists it as uncharacterized. Lineage: Eukaryota; Metazoa; Mollusca; Gastropoda; Lepetellida; Haliotidae. The record is from RefSeq and is a predicted model, not a curated record. The transcript is spliced from 3 exons.
AGCAUCUUUAUUUGAGAACACCUUGGACACAACAAUGACACGAUUCACCCUCUGUGUUGUCUUUUGUGUGGCCCUGUUUGUCCACCACGGUCAGAGUUGCUGCUGCGGGGGAACCCACAUUUCACGCACUUCCUCCUCCUACCCCAUCCCCAUCCCCGUCCCCGUCCCACAACCAGCCGCCGCACCCAGCAGCAGCUUCCUCCCCACCAUCUUCACCACGUUGGGAUGAAGCACCUUUCUCACAGACAGAGGUGCCUCAUCAGACUCACAACAUUUAGUUCAUGUAGUAAAAUAAUGUGAUUAAAUACAUCCAAUUGACAAAA